ACAAGGUCCCAGAGAGGAGACAAGAGGGACUGGUUCUUCAGCUGCAAAAUGGGCAUUGCAGUGCCCUGUAGUUCCAUGGUGAGGAGCACAAAAGAUGGCAAGCAUCAAAGCUCUCUGCCCAGUGAUGCUACACCUUCCGGCCCUCUGCACCUGUCUGCCUCUCGGCCCGGGCGCUCAUUCCCUCUCUCCUGCGGACAGUCUCAGGGCUAGUUCCCUACUUUCAGUCUCCUUCCUCUGAUCUGCCAGUUUGCUCUUGUUCUUCCUAAGUCUCAACUUUGAUGUGUCACUCUCUUCCUUGAGACAUUCUGGGCUUCCUCAGCAUGGGCUGGCAUUCUUGGCCUCUAUUGUUACACCACAUCCUGUAGUUCUAGAUCUAUUCCCUUUUGCUCAUAUAUUCCUUCUCCUGGCCUCACAGGACUCCCUGCCAUUCUCCACCUUCUAUUUAGAUCCCUAUUUCUCCUCCAUUGAACCCUACCAUAUCACUUCACUGUGAAGGGAAGCCUUCUUGAUCUUAAAUCCUAUAAUGGCUCUCUGCAUACUUUCCUAGCAUCUGAUUCUGUAGUCAUCCAAUUAUAUCUUCAAUUUAUUAUAUAGUAGAGAGGCAGUAUAAUGGUGGUUAAGAACAAAGAUUCCAAAAUCAGAUUAUCUGGGGUUGAAUCCAAGCCCUGCCACUUCCUAGCUCUGAACUUGAGCAAGUUACCUCUGUCUUUAAUUUCUUCAUUCUUAAAAUACAGAUAAUGUGACCUGAAAAUGCACAAGGAAGGAAACUUGCAUGUGUAUUAUUCAUCAAAAGAAGCCAACCUGAAGAGGUUGCUUUCUGUAUGUUUUCAGAUAUAGGACAUUCUGGAAAAGAUAAAAUUACAGAGACAGUCAAAACAUCAGUGGCUGCCAGGGGUUGGGGUAGGGAGGGAUAAAUAAGCAGAGCACAGAGGAUUUAUAGGGCUAUAAAAAUACUCUGCAUGGUACUGUAAUUGUGACUCCAUAUUAUUAUAUGUUUUUCCAAACACAUAGAAUACACAACACCAAGAGUGAACUCUAAUGUAUGCUGUGGACUCUGGGUGAUUAUGAAGUGUCAAUGUUGGUUCAUCAGUUGUUAUAAAUAUACCACUUUACAACAGAUGCUUACGGGAGGGUUUGGACAUGUGUAGGACCCAGUGGUAUAUAGGAUAUCUCUAUACCUUCCUCUUAUUUGGCCUAUAAAUCUUAAAAUUCUCUAAAAAAUAAGAUCUUAAACAAAAUGCACAUUGUGAUAAUUUUUUGGUGGCGAGGAGAGGGGGACCAGAGGGAUUGAGCUCAGAGGCACUCAACCACUGAGACACAUCCACAGUCCUAUUUUGUAUUUGACUUAGAGAUAGAGUCUCACUCAGUGGCUUAGCACCUCACUUUUGCUGAAACUGUCUUUGAACUCGCGAUCCUCCUGUCUUAGCCUUCCAAGCCGCUGGGACUACAGAUAUGUGCCACCACACCUGGCCGCACACCUGUACUUAUUUUCUCCUCCCCUUGAGAGUGGGAUGUGCUCAUUGACUGUAACUGAAAUGACAGUGUGUGCCCUUCCACUUCCUCCUUCUCUUGGAUCAAUCAUUCCGUUCAGUCAGCUCCCUGCUUAAGAACACCCAUGCAACCCUAUGGUCAGGCCCACAUGGCAAGGAACUAAGCCCAAGAGAUAAUUAGUACAGAUUAAGUGAGUUGAUAUCAGCGUAGAAAAUUAUUAGAUAUGCCUUUAGAAUGUGGUAAAUAGUAUUAUUGUAAUAGCUAUAGCAGUUGUUAUUUUGAAAUAUAUUAUUCAUAUGGAAACAUUUAGCAUAUAAAGUAACAAAUAGCCAAAAUACUGACAGUGAGUGUCAAAUAAAAACACAUAGCCAUCUGUCAUGGUUUGGAUAUGAGAUGUUCCCCAAAAGCUCCUAUGUUAAUGUAGGAAUUGUCAGAGGUGCAAGGAUUGGAUUAUGAGGGCUAUAACCUAAUCAGUUCACCUUAUUUUGAAUGGACUAAGUGGUGACUGUAGGCAGGUAGGUCAUGGCUGGAGUGGGUGGGUCACUGAGGCAUGUCCUGAAAGGGUUCACUCUCCCUGUGGUCCCUUCCCCCUCCUCUCUCUCUUUCUGCUUCCCGGCUGCCAUGUCCUGAGCAGCUUCCCUCUGGCAUACACUUCCACCAUGAUGUUCUGCCUCACCUUGGGCUCAGAGCAAUGAAGUCUGCCCGCCAUGGACUGUGCCUAUGAAAACAUCAGUCAAAAUAAACUUUCCUUCCUCUAAGUUGCUCUUGUUAGGUAUUUUAGUCGCAGUGAGGCAAAACUGACAGAUACACCAUAUUUUGCAUAUUUUUUAAGAAGCAAAAUAUUUUAGGUAAUUGAAGUCCUGUGUACCCUCCCCACAUUCCAGUCCUACCUAGCAGGGGGCUACAGUUCCAAAUUUUGUGUGAUCAUGCUUUUAUAUUUUUAUUUUCUGUUCUAAAAUAAUACUGUGCAUAAUAGCUCUUUUCAAAAUGUGUUUUUGGUCAACACUAUGUUUUUGAGAUUUAUUUUAAAAUAGGUAGCUUCAGUUAGUCCAUUAUAACUACUCUGUUAUAUUAUAUAAAUAUUCUCUAAUUCAUCAUUUUAUUUUUGAGAAAGAUUUUUGUUGAUUCCGGUGUUAGAAAAAUCAGAGAUCAUCAUGCAGAUGAGAAGGUCAAGCUGAAGAUGGAAAUUGACUUGACUAAAGUCAUAUAAAAUAUAGUGGAGCCGGGACUUUGAAAGACAUUAUGGUAGCUGGGAGGGGCCAGUUGUCUUCUCAACAUACUUUUCUCUUAUCUUUUCUCAGACUCCUUGGAGGAACUCCUCUUGUUCCACAAGAUCCUGUUGGGAAUGUCAGUGACUCCCUCAAGAGCCAGCAAGAGAACCCAUGACUCAGGCUUUGUCAAUCACAGUACAACAUUCCCUGGUAUAUAAUGAUUAGCUCAGGAAGAUCAUGUUAAACCAAUCUGAAUCCUGUGAUUUUGCUGAGCUUAAAAAAAUAGAAGCCUGGAGUUUUCAGAAAACUUCUCUCCUGCUAUGUGGGGAAAGUCUGACUCUGGAAAAGAGAAUGAAACCAACACAGAGAGAAGCAGUGACAAAUAGGUGGGAGGGAAGUGAAAGAACAAAGGUUAUUUGGGCCCUUGAAUACAAAAUGCCUGAACUUCAGUCCUUAUCCUUUAUUUUUAGCUUAACCCAGUUUGACUUGUGUUUCUAUAUCUUGCAACAGAGUCCUGACUCUCAGUUCACUGUCCUUUGUACUCUGCCACAACUGCACCUCCUAGAUAUUGAGUAAACACUUGAUUGUAAUGACAACCUCAACAAAGCCAUGGAAAUAUCACUGAUCUUGGAGUUAGGGAACACAGCAAGACUAACUGCAGUCACAGUUAUAAUGUGGCACUUCCCUUCUCUUGGAUAAUCUAUUUCACCUCGACCUGUCAUCC
Molecule: long non-coding RNA, 3426 nt
Filed under: Marmota monax (woodchuck)
Lineage: Eukaryota; Metazoa; Chordata; Mammalia; Rodentia; Sciuridae
Source: RNAcentral